Molecule: ribosomal RNA, 466 nt
Filed under: uncultured bacterium
Lineage: Bacteria
Description: partial 16S ribosomal RNA
Rfam family: Bacterial small subunit ribosomal RNA
Source: RNAcentral
GACGAACGCUGGCGGCGCGCCUAACACAUGCAAGUCGAACGAGCGAGAGAGAGCUUGCUUUCUCAAGCGAGUGGCGAACGGGUGAGUAACGCGUGAGGAACCUGCCUCAAAGAGGGGGACAACAGUUGGAAACGACUGCUAAUACCGCAUAAGCCCACGACCCGGCAUCGGGUAGAGGGAAAAGGAGCAAUCCGCUUUGAGAUGGCCUCGCGUCCGAUUAGCUAGUUGGUGAGGUAACGGCCCACCAAGGCGACGAUCGGUAGCCGGACUGAGAGGUUGAACGGCCACAUUGGGACUGAGACACGGCCCAGACUCCUACGGGAGGCAGCAGUGGGGAAUAUUGCACAAUGGGGGAAGCCCUGAUGCAGCGACGCCGCGUGGAGGAAGAAGGUCUUCGGAUUGUAAACUCCUGUUGUUGAGGAAGAUAAUGACGGUACUCAACAAGGAAGUGACGGCUAACUACGUG